Homo sapiens (human) is the source of this 1144-nucleotide long non-coding RNA. RefSeq lists it as uncharacterized. Lineage: Eukaryota; Metazoa; Chordata; Mammalia; Primates; Hominidae. The record is from RefSeq and is a predicted model, not a curated record. The transcript is spliced from 2 exons.
AAAAGCCCAGCUAAGUUUGAGUUUCAAAUACUUUUUUUUUAGUAGAAAAAGACCCCAAUAUUGCAUGAGAUGUAAUUAUACUAAAAAAGUGUUCACUCUUUAUCUGAAAUGCAAACUUAGCUUGGCAUCCUGUUAUCUGGCAAUCCUCAUCAAAAACAGCAGCUACAUGGAAGGAGGGUAGCAGGGAAGAGAAAAACCACAGUCCCUGCUGCCCCAGUAGGCUCUUGGGGGCAUGGGGGAAAGCUAAUGGUAAGUCAGCAUCCACAUUUUACUACCUGGGACCGAACAUUUUAAAUUCAUGAAUAGAGACUGCUUUUGAUCUAAAGUGGUACCAGGAACUAAUUCCCUAGGAAUAGUCAAAAAAAAAAAAAAAAAAUCACGGGAAAGGUCUGGGCUUUUCAUAGCGUAGAAAGAAGGGACAAGAGGGCAGCCCUCUUCCCGCGUUCCCACUGAGCAGGUUUGAGGGGCAGCAGGAAACAAGGCUGACUGCAUUGUGGCACCCCUCCAGGCUGCCUUGGACGAGUUAAGAUGGGAUCCGUCAGCUUGGUCCCUAACCCCAGGUAAAGAUGGAACAGAUGCUGGCUGUGACCAGGAGUCCUGAAUUUGCCUUGCACCAUUUCCCUCCACCGGACUGGGAGCCACUGCGGGGCAGGAAGCUGCCUUUUCCAUUUCCCAAGACCGGAAUCAAUCACAGCGGCUCAUCGCAUCAUGCAUCCUCUGCAAUGGUUCCUUCCUUUCCAGGGAGGUUGGUCACGGCCAAUGCUGUCCUGUGUCCACCAGGUGGCGCUCGCGAUCACCGCAAAACACAUGGCUACCGUGAUGGUUUUUAAAUAAGAAAUCUUACAAUGGUUUUAGACAUAAAGGACUGUUGAGAAUAUGAUAGAGAGUUCGUGUGCGACCCGCACCCUGUUCCACUGCGCCUUAACAUCUGACAUGACUCUGGUCCAUCUGUCACCAUGAAGGAGCCAAUUCAUAUAUGAGGUCUUGCCAAGUUGCCCAGGCUGGUCUGGAACUCCUGGACUCAAGUGAUCCACCCACCUCAGCCUCCCAAAGUGCUGGGAUUAUAGGUGUGAGCUGCUCCGCCCAGCCCAGAAGCAAACCUUAUAUUCAGUCUCAUUGGAUUAAAUUCUAUCCCUCCACAAAA